This 242-nucleotide transfer-messenger RNA is filed under the name Aeromonas veronii. Its description in RNAcentral is "partial transfer-messenger RNA". It matches the Rfam family "transfer-messenger RNA", at positions 113 to 372 of the family's 374-position model. Rfam says of the family: Bacterial tmRNA, also known as 10Sa RNA or SsrA, is named for its dual tRNA and mRNA-like properties. Lineage: Bacteria; Pseudomonadati; Pseudomonadota; Gammaproteobacteria; Aeromonadales; Aeromonadaceae. The record is from RNAcentral.
CGUUUUAGCAGCUUAGUAAAACUGCUCGUUUCUACUAGACCUCCCGCAGUCUAGCUAGAAACGUCAUCUUAGCGGGGAACGUCUUAAGGGAUGCCUUGACCUUAAGUUGUAUAAUUAGGGCUGGUCGAAUCUAUAGUAUGUUGCUGGACGAUAGAGGAGACGAGAUCUAAAACAGUAACUACGCUCGUAGAAGCUGAAGGUAAAGGGCCUUCGGACAGGGGUUCGAUUCCCCUCGCCUCCAC